Molecule: ribosomal RNA, 790 nt
Filed under: uncultured bacterium
Lineage: Bacteria
Description: bacterial SSU rRNA
Rfam family: Bacterial small subunit ribosomal RNA
Source: RNAcentral
AGUUUGAUCAUGGCUCAGAUUGAACGCUGGCGGCAGGCUUAACACAUGCAAGUCGAGCGGAGAGAGGUAGCUUGCUACUGAUCUUAGCGGCGGACGGGUGAGUAAUACUUAGGAAUCUGGCUAUUAGUGGGGGACAACAUUUCGAAAGGGAUGCUAAUACCGCAUACGUCCUACGGGAGAAAGCAGGGGAUCUUCGGACCUUGCGCUAAUAGAUGAGCCUAAGUCGGAUUAGCUAGUUGGUGGGGUAAAGGCCUACCAAGGCGACGAUCUGUAGCGGGUCUGAGAGGAUGAUCCGCCACACUGGGACUGAGACACGGCCCAGACUCCUACGGGAGGCAGCAGUGGGGAAUAUUGGACAAUGGGGGGAACCCUGAUCCAGCCAUGCCGCGUGUGUGAAGAAGGCCUUAUGGUUGUAAAGCACUUUAAGCGAGGAGGAGGGUACUGGUAUUAAUACUACCAGGUACUGGACGUUACUCGCAGAAUAAGCACCGGCUAACUCUGUGCCAGCAGCCGCGGUAAUACAGAGGGUGCGAGCGUUAAUCGGAUUUACUGGGCGUAAAGCGUGCGUAGGCGGCUAAUUGAGUCGGAUGUGAAAUCCCCGAGCUUAACUUGGGAAUUGCAUUCGAUACUGGUUAGCUAGAGUGUGGGAGAGGAUGGUAGAAUUCCAGGUGUAGCGGUGAAAUGCGUAGAGAUCUGGAGGAAUACCGAUGGCGAAGGCAGCCAUCUGGCCUAACACUGACGCUGAGGUACGAAAGCAUGGGGAGCAAACAGGAUUAGAUACCCUGGUAGU